UAACCUCCCACAUCAGCUUGCUAUUAGCAGCGAGAAGUCGUCGCCCAGAUCCAGAGCCACUCCGUUUCUCGCACGCACUCCUCUUCGAGGAGAGAGAGAGAGGGGGGGAGGGAGCGACUUAGAUCUCGAUCUCCUGUACGGUGGGCCAAUGGCGCGCGUCGAUCCCGCCACCGCUGCUCCACCUCUUCGUCUCCGCAACCAUGGUGGCUUUCUCUUCUUCUUCCUCCUCCUCCUCCUUUUCUCCUCCGUCGAUGCCUCCGUCCACAGCUACAUUGGCGAGAAGUUCACGCCAAAGGGCAACGCGUUCGUCCUCCAUGGCGGCAGCGAGGGCCUGUACGCUUCGCUUCCCCACGCCAACGCCACCGCCGGCCGCGGCGACUCGUUCAUCCGCUUUGAGAAGAUCACUUUCACACGGCCUGAGAAAUCUGUUUGAGAACAGUAAAGAUGGUGAUUCUGUUUUGGUGCAAGCUAUCAUAUUUGAAGUAGAAGAUCGGGAGACAAUUGGUGGGUCAGCCUAUGGUGGUCAACGAGCUGUUUGCUGCACACCAGAUCUGGCAAAAUUGGGUGCUUGCACCCAAGGCGCAGUCAUCUAUCGGCCCUCUGCUCAGAAUCCUAAGUGGCCUCAGGUGCUUGCUGCCACUUUUAAUGGAAAGGAUCUUGUUGCAACAUUGCCAUCCCAGAGUAUACCCAUCACAAGAACUGGGAUGUACAACCUGUAUUUUAUAUAUUGUGACCCAGCUCUUAAUGGGCUGGUCAUAGACGGGAAGACCGUGUGGAAAAAUCCCACUGGCUACCUGCCAGGAAGGAUGGCUCCUCUCAUGAACUUUUAUGGAUUCAUGUCUCUUGCAUUUGUGAUACUUGGGAUAUUUUGGUUUUCACAGUAUGUGAGAUUUUGGAGAGAGGUUCUUCCACUCCAGAACUGCAUAACACUUGUCAUCGCAUUAGGCAUGCUGGAAAUGGCAUUGUGGUACUUCGAGUAUGCUGAAUUCAAUGAAACUGGACUUAGACCAAUGGGGAUCACCUUUUGGGCAGUAACGUUUGGUUCAGUUAAACGAACAGUGUCGUGGGUUAUUAUUCUAGUUGUUUCUAUGGGGUAUGGUGUUGUCAGGCCUACCUUGGGUGGUCUCACAUCGAAGGUGAUUAUGCUUGGAGCAACAUUUUUCCUUGCUUCUGAGAUACUUGAGUUGGUGGAGAAUGCUGGUGCUGUAAGUGAUUUUGCCGGAAAAGCAAGACUCUUUUUGGUUCUUCCCGUGGCGCUUUUGGAUACAUUUUUCAUUAUAUGGAUCUUUACUUCUCUUUCCAAAACUCUGGACAAGCUCCAGGCAAGGCGAUUGAUAGCUAAGCUAGACAUUUACAGGAAAUUCACAAAUGCAUUGGCCAUCACUGUUCUUGUAUCUGUUGGAUGGAUUUGCUAUGAGCUUUAUUUCAAGUCAAAUGAUGUAUACAAUGGGCACUGGCAGAAUGCCUGGAUCAUUCCUGCGUUUUGGCAGGUCCUGUCGUUCUCUCUUCUCUGCGUAAUUGCUGCUCUUUGGGCGCCCUCUCAAAACUCAAUGAGAUAUGCUUACUCAGAUGAUGGAUCUGAAGAUUUUGAUCGAGAGGACUCACUUUCUCUAAUAAAGCCAGGACCAGUUUCUUCAAAGGAUGCCCGUGGUUCUGCUGGUUUGAUGGAUGCUAGAGCAGCUGUGAGCAAUGACACUACCACCUCACACAAUGGCGACAUCGAAGAAGAUAAAAGGGAGUAGCAACACGAUCAGCAUCUACCUGCUUGUAGUGGCUAGUUUGUUAUCGAAGGAUUUGAUUAGCUUGUACGACUUAGCAGUAAUUUACUUUAUAUCGGUUGACGAAAAAUAGUACUCGUUCUGUUGUCCUGUUGUUUUAGAGACCGGCAAAUAGCAAUCUCUUCUUUUAUCUUUUCAUUUCUUAGUCCCCCAUUCAUUCUUUUUUGUACCAAAUGGGUUUUCAAGAGGUGAAUUACUGCCGGAUUAUUCAAAAGUGUGCUUUGGAUUCUGCACUUGCAAUCUCUUCUUUUAA
Non-coding RNA from Musa acuminata subsp. malaccensis (wild Malaysian banana), 2031 nucleotides. The record is from RefSeq and is a predicted model, not a curated record. Lineage: Eukaryota; Viridiplantae; Streptophyta; Magnoliopsida; Zingiberales; Musaceae.